GAUGAAGAACGUAGCGAAAUACGAUAAUUAAUGUGAAUUGCAGAAUUCCGUGAAUCAUCGAGUCUUUGAACGCACAUUGCGCCUCAUGGCAUUCCGUGAGGCAUGCCCAUCUCAGCGUUAGAAAAUAUUCUCAAAUUUUAGUUUUGUGCUAAAAUUUGGAUCAUGUCAAAGAAGCUAUUACUAUUAUUGUGAUCGCUCUUUGGAAAUUGAUAGGUCUUUGAGUUGCUACUCAUAGAACGUGAUGAAUCUUUCUUCGUUCUAUUGUAAUUCACUCUGGUAGUCCUAAAACUGGUAUGCCUGUGGCAUAUCUUGUAAUUUGACCUGAGAUUGGGUAGGGAUACCCGCUGAACUUAAGCAUAUCAAUAAGCGGAGGA
Molecule: unclassified non-coding RNA, 374 nt
Filed under: soil metagenome
Description: partial contains internal transcribed spacer 2 and large subunit ribosomal RNA
Rfam family: 5.8S ribosomal RNA (bases 1-120)
Source: RNAcentral